UACAGAGACUGCAAGCGUUAUUCGGAUUCACUGGGCGUAAAGGGUGCGCAGGCGGCCAAGUGUGUGAGGCGUGAAAGCCCGGGGCUUAACCCCGGAAUUGCACCUCAAACUACAUGGCUAGAGCAUUGGAGAGGGUAGCGGAAUUCACGGGUGUAGCAGUGAAAUGCGUAGAUAUCGUGAGGAACACCAGAGGCGAAGGCGGCUACCUGGACAAUUGCUGACGCUCAGGCACGAAAGCGUGGGAGCAAAGGG
RNAcentral lists this ribosomal RNA (252 nucleotides) under uncultured bacterium. Its description in RNAcentral is "partial 16S ribosomal RNA". It matches the Rfam family "Bacterial small subunit ribosomal RNA", at positions 524 to 775 of the family's 1533-position model. The record is from RNAcentral.